Non-coding RNA from Camelina sativa (false flax), 1373 nucleotides. The record is from RefSeq and is a predicted model, not a curated record. NCBI's taxonomy places the organism in Eukaryota, Viridiplantae, Streptophyta, Magnoliopsida, Brassicales, Brassicaceae.
AGUUAUCCUCUCUCUCUAUGCUUCUGUCGCCGUCUCCAUCUCCAAAUUCGUUUUCCUAGAAGCUUACACGACAACUCUUGAUCAGCAGAACUAAACACGAAUUCUCUCUUUAUUUGGAGGAUUCAACUACAGGUUUUCGAGGUCACUGGUUCGUACUUUUUCCCUAUUUUUUUAUGAGAGUCUUGGAGAUGUUCUUCAUAGUUAUCACAGUAGGAGCUUUCUUCUUUUGGAAUUUUAAAUGAGCGUACCUGGAUAUCCUAUGUGUGAAUUCUGUAGGAAUCCAUUCUAUUCUAUGGUGAUAAUGAAUUACUCACAUGUCUACGAAGCAUUACACAUGUCAUUUUUGUCAAAGGAUUUGGAUGAAAGUUUGCUGCUAAGUUUGCUCUGAUGGAUGUAAUGUCUUUAAAGCGAUCAUGAAGAAGACCAAAGGAGAUGAUACACUGGUUCCAGUUUUAUCAGCACAUUUAAGCAUCUUAUUGCACAUAAGCGGAAGAAGAAGCUGAACUUUAAGCUAAGGAUCAAGCUAGAAAGGCUAAACAUUUGGAAGAAAGACAUGUUAAACCUGGAAAUUAGUUGGAUACCCAUGAAAAAUUCUAAUUGGUGUUGCCACUAGAUCUAGAAGAUAAACAAGGCGUAGCAUGCUCAGAAGGGUUUGAAUCCUUCCUGGUCAAGAGUCCCUAAAGGUAGGGUUUAGGGUUUAGCGAUCCGUGUUUAGAAGGUGCACCUUGGAAUGGAUGUUUAGAAGGUGCACCUUGGAAUGGAGGUUAGCCAAAUGCGUCAGUGAUGACAUCUUCAAUAUCAGUUUUCUAAUAUGUUCAUCAUAAUUAUCAUAGUAGUUAUCUCACGAGAUCUAAGAUGUAAGGAGAAAGAUGUAGUGAAAAAGUGCAAGUUCUAUAUGGGAAUUCAACAACUCUGUUCUACAGAUUUUGGAAGCUGGAGUGAAGUAUAUCCUCAUGGCAAUUUGUUUUUGUUUAGCUCUAAACACAAACCAGAGAUAGAGAGAAGCUGUUGGUGCAGUGGCUAUAUAUAUGCUCAAGAGUAUUCCACAUGUUUGCUUCUAAUAUUUAAACCUUACGUUGAAAAGGUGUAAGAUAUUGGAGGAACAAGUUUGAGAAAUUGUCUGACUAAAUCGAAUCUGAAGAAGAUUGUUUGGUCGAUUCGGUAUUGGGUUUGUUUAUUAGCCGAGACGAAGUAUAUUAUCGGGACGCCUCUUCUUGGAGGCAAAAGUUGAAGACCCGUGCUGUCAAGGUUUGAUGAGCAAAUGGGAUCAGUUGAAGCCAUUUACGCAAAAAGUUGUUUCAUGAUGCCAUUUGCAUGGCGGUGCUAAUUCAAGAAGUCAUAUGUGGCGAUUAUGCUUUUGUCAUCCACACAAA